GUUGUCAUGGCCGAGUGGUUAAGGCAAUGGACUUAAAAUCUUUUGGGAUCUUCCCGCACAGGUUCGAAUCCUGCCGACAUCG
This 82-nucleotide transfer RNA is filed under the name Dreissena polymorpha. It matches the Rfam family "tRNA". From Rfam's summary of the family: Transfer RNA (tRNA) molecules are approximately 80 nucleotides in length. Their secondary structure includes four short double-helical elements and three loops (D, anti-codon, and T loops). The record is from Rfam by way of RNAcentral. Lineage: Eukaryota; Metazoa; Mollusca; Bivalvia; Myida; Dreissenidae.